RNAcentral lists this transfer RNA (87 nucleotides) under Desulfogranum mediterraneum. It matches the Rfam family "tRNA". Rfam says of the family: Transfer RNA (tRNA) molecules are approximately 80 nucleotides in length. Lineage: Bacteria; Pseudomonadati; Thermodesulfobacteriota; Desulfobulbia; Desulfobulbales; Desulfobulbaceae. RNAcentral also lists the same sequence under 12 other names. The record is from RNAcentral.
GCCGAAGUGGCGGAAUUGGUAGACGCGCUAGGUUCAGGGUCUAGUGGGCGUACGCUCGUGGGAGUUCGACUCUCCCCUUCGGCACCA